AAAAAGGCAAACCAUGGGUUUCCGUGUCCAACUUUGAUUGUCCGUCUUAUAUGAAAUUUUUUUAUAAUUCGUAUUUUUAUUGUUGCUAGAUGAUAAAACAUAAUUAAUAUUUUAUGCGUGACUUGUCUUUUUAAUUUUUUUUCAUAAUUUUUUUUCAAAUAAGACGGACGGUCAAACGUUGGGCACGGAAACCAUGGUUUGUCUUUUU
RNAcentral lists this microRNA precursor (208 nucleotides) under Oryza sativa Japonica Group (Japanese rice). RNAcentral describes it as "MIR812 microRNA precursor family". It matches the Rfam family "MIR812 microRNA precursor family". Lineage: Eukaryota; Viridiplantae; Streptophyta; Magnoliopsida; Poales; Poaceae. The record is from Rfam by way of RNAcentral.